UAUUCUGAGUUUAAAUUUGCAGUUUUUUUUACAGAAAUAAACGAGUCUUUAGGGUAUACCUAAAAAAACUUUAUGUGUUUUGGUUUUAGGUUCAGGUCAGUUGUCCACUUCAGAACCUAGUACAAAAACAUUAAUAACCAAAAAAAGGCUCUUGGAAAAUGUUCAAGCAUCUAAUGAUUUAGAAAAGCCGGCCACUUCAGAGCCUAGUAGGGAAACAUCGUUAUUGCACAAUAUUCAAGCAUGGUAAGAUGAUCAGCCAUCCACCUCUAGGGGAUCAAUUCUAGAAUACAUUGACAACAGUGAUGAUAGUUUAAGGGAUAAAGAAAAUUCUUACGAAGAAAUCCGAAAUGUGUUUUUUGCUCAAGAUAACGAUCAGGACGAAACACAUAAUAAGAAUAAUGAUCAGGCUAUACAAAAUAAAGACGAAAAACGAAAAAUAAAAUCAAGAAAACGCAUAAGACAGAUUGACAACUGGCGAAGCACAAAAAGGUCAAAAGCAACUUUAAAAGGCGAACAACAUGUGACAAAAAAGGGAAAAACCAUUAUGGCAAAGGCACUUAAGUCACGCUGUGCACCUUGCAGAAGAAACUGUACCGAAAAAAUUCCUGAUGCUAUAAGACAACAGAUUUUCAAGGAAUACUGUGAAGAAAAGAAUUGGGACAUAAAAAGACAAUUUAUUCGUUCGCACGUUGAGUCAAAACACAUUGAACGUUGCAGACCCGAAGACAACAGUAAAAUUGGCAAAAAACAGACUAUUAACUACUUUUUUGAUGUGCAGUCGGAAGGUUUAACUAAAAAGAUUGAUGUAUGUAAAACCUAUUUUUUUGAACACUUCGGAAUUUUGGAAACCGUUGUUCGAAAUGUUUUACAAAAAUACACUGCCGGUGGCUUUGUUUCGAGGGAUAUGAGAGGGUGACAUGUGCCACCCAACAAACUACCAGAGGAAGUUCUUAAUGGAGUAAGAGCACAGAUAAAAUCCUUUCCAUCUUACGAAAGCCAUUAUUCUCGUGAAAAAAAGUAAAAGACAAUAUUUAGGGCCAGAACUAAGCAGAGAAAAAAUGUACAAGUUAUAUUUAGCUAAAUGUGAAGAGAACCACAUUCCCAAACAUCAAAUAGCAAAGCUUUGGAUAUAUAAAAAAUGUUUUAAUAAAGAAUUUAAUUUAUCGUUUAAAAAACUUUCAGCUGAUACUUGCGAUAAAUGUGACAGCUUUAUCUUAAGACUUAAAGACUCCCAAAGUAGUGAGAAAACAGUUAUCCACGAAGAAUAUGAAAAUCAUUUGAAGGAAGUAGAUUCGCGAUACAAAAUCAAGAAAAAUGACAAGAAGAGAGCAAGAAUUCAAAUGACAGUAUUAAGGUUAUAAUGCUAGAUCUUCAAAAAUGUCUUCCCACCCCGUACCUAUCAAAUAAUCAAAGCUUCUAUUACUUAAAGCUGUGGACUUUAAACCUGACUAUUUAUGACUCAAAUACAAAUUUUUACUGAGGGGUCAUACACACAUGGAAGCUGAUCACGUACACGCUCUUAUUGAAAGGACUUUAAAAAAGCAACCAACCAUGGAAAUAUGUACUCCUUGGAACUGGCAACAAUUAAUAAGAUCCACAGGCGCAACUGUUAUAAAACUACAUUAUUCUGAUUUUAAACAUGUUGACUAUUGGUAUGGUCAACCUAACUCUCCUUUUAUUAAUAAGAAGAAAAAUACUGAAAAAGCAAGACUUUUGAUAUCUAAAGUUGUAUAUUUUCAAAUUAAAGCUGAUCGUCCUAGCACUAUAUUUUACAAACUGAAAUUUAACGAUGAAGAGUUUAAAACUUUAAAUGUGACCAGAUCUGUUCGAAAUCCAAUGCCACUGCCUAAUGAAUUGCCUAGUCUGCGCAGUAACUUAAAGGGAAUAAGAAAGAAAAAACAUGAUAUUUUAAUAAAAAGUUUGGAGUGGGUUCCUAAGCAAUUUCAUAAUUUUCUUAAAAAAUCUUCCAAUUUCUAAAGCAAAAGGCCAACAUAGUUCCGAUGAAGAAGAUAGCGAUUGAUUUUUUAUCUUCUAUGAA
Anthonomus grandis grandis is the source of this 2038-nucleotide long non-coding RNA. RefSeq lists it as uncharacterized. The record is from RefSeq and is a predicted model, not a curated record. NCBI's taxonomy places the organism in Eukaryota, Metazoa, Arthropoda, Insecta, Coleoptera, Curculionidae. The transcript is spliced from 3 exons.